This 521-nucleotide ribosomal RNA is filed under the name uncultured bacterium. RNAcentral's name for it is "partial 16S ribosomal RNA". It matches the Rfam family "Bacterial small subunit ribosomal RNA", at positions 355 to 885 of the family's 1533-position model. The record is from RNAcentral.
UGGGGAAUAUUGCACAAUGGGCGCAAGCCUGAUGCAGCAACGCCGCGUGAGGGACGACGGCCUUCGGGUUGUAAACCUCUUUUAGUAGGGAAGAAGCGAAAGUGACGGUACCUGCAGAAAAAAGCACCGGCUAACUACGUGCCAGCAGCCGCGGUAAUACGUAGGGUGCGAGCGUUGUCCGGAAUUAUUGGGCGUAAAGAGCUCGUAGGCGGUCUGUCGCGUCUGCUGUGAAAACCCGAGGCUCAACCUCGGGCCUGCAGUGGGUACGGGCAGACUAGAGUGCGGUAGGGGAGAAUGGAAUUCCUGGUGUAGCGGUGGAAUGCGCAGAUAUCAGGAGGAACACCGAUGGCGAAGGCAGUUCUCUGGGCCGUAACUGACGCUGAGGAGCGAAAGCGUGGGGAGCGAACAGGAUUAGAUACCCUGGUAGUCCACGCCGUAAACGUUGGGCGCUAGAUGUGGGGACCAUUCCACGGUUUCCGUGUCGCAGCUAACGCGUGAAGUUGACCGCCUGGGGAGUACGG